GGUUUGAUCAUGGCUCAGAUUGAACGCUGGCGGGAUGCUUUACACAUGCAAGUCGAACGGCAGCACGGACUUCGGUCUGGUGGCGAGUGGCGAACGGGUGAGUAAUGUAUCGGAACGUGCCUAGUAGCGGGGGAUAACUACGCGAAAGCGUAGCUACUACCGUGCACGAUCUUCGGGGAAAGCGGGGACCUCGGGCCUCGCACUAUUAGAGCGGCCGAUAUCGGAUUAGCUUGGGGUUGGUGGGGUAACGGCUCACUGUUGCGACGAUCCGUAGCUGGUUUGAGAGGAUUGCGACCAGCCACACUGGGACUGAGACACGGCCCAGACUCCUACGGGAGGCAGCAGUGGGGAAUUCUGGGAUUAAUGGGGAAACCCUGAUCCAGCCAUCCGCGUGUGCGAUGAAGGCCCUCGGGUUGUAAAGCACUUUUGGCAGGAAAGAAACGGCACGGGAUAAUACCCCGUGCAACUGACGGUACCUGGGUAGAAUAAGCACCGGCUAACCAUGCGCCAGCAGCCGCGGUAAUACGUAGGGUGCAAGGCAAUCGGAAUUACUGGCGAAGCGUGGCGCAGGCGGUUCGGAAAGAAAGAUGUGAACCAGAGCCAUCCUCAGAACUGCAUUUUAAUCAAUGAGCUAUGUGUCAGAGGGAGGUGGAAUUCGCGUGUAGCAGUGAAAUGCGUAGAUAUGCGGAGGAACACCGAUGGCGAAGGCAGCCUCCUGGGCGUUUCACCGAUUGGCACGAAAGCGUGGGAGCAACAGGAUUAGAUACCCUGGUAGUCCACGCCCUAAACGAUGUCAACUAGUUGCCAGCCUUCGGGCCUUGGUAGCGCAGCUAACGCGUGAAGUUGACUCCGCCUGUGAGUAUGUCGCAAAGAUUAAAACUCAAAGGAAUUGACGGGGACCCGCACAAGCGGUGGAUGAUGACUAAUUCGACAUGCAACGCGAAAACCUUACCUACCCUUGACAUGUCUGGAAUCCCCGAAGAGAUUUGGGAGUGCUCGCAAGAGAACCGGAACACAGGUAUGCACGGCAGUCGUCAGCUCGUGUCGUGAGAUGUUGGGUUAAGUCCCGCAACGAGCGCAACCUCUUGUCAUUAGUUGCUACGAAAGGGCACUCUAUCGAGACUGCCGGUGACAAACCGGAGGAAGGGGAUGACGUCAAGUCCUCAUGGCCCUUAUGGGUAGGGCUUCACACGUCAUACAAUGGUCGGGACAGAGGGUCGCCAACCCGCGAGGGGGAGCCAAUCCCGGCAAACCCGAUCAGCCGAUCGCAGUCUGCAACUCGACUGCGUGAAGUCGGAAUCGCUAGUAAUCGCGGAUCAGCAUGUCGCGGUGAAUACGUUCCGGGUCUUGUACACACCGCCCGUCACACCAUGGGGAGUGGGUUUUACCAGAAGUAGUUAGUCAACCGCAAGGAGGGUGAUUACCACGGUAGGAUUCAUGACUGGGGUGAAGUCGUAACAAGGUAACUCUCAGCAUACCUGAUGU
RNAcentral lists this ribosomal RNA (1485 nucleotides) under uncultured Bordetella sp. RNAcentral's name for it is "partial 16S-23S ribosomal RNA intergenic spacer". It matches the Rfam family "Bacterial small subunit ribosomal RNA". Lineage: Bacteria; Pseudomonadati; Pseudomonadota; Betaproteobacteria; Burkholderiales; Alcaligenaceae. The record is from RNAcentral.